GGGGAGGGGGGGGCUAAUACUGCAAGUCGAGCGGACAGAAGGGAGCUUGCUCCCGGAUGUUAGCGGCGGACGGGUGAGUAACACGUGGGUAACCUGCCUGUAAGACUGGGAUAACUCCGGGAAACCGGAGCUAAUACCGGAUAGUUCCUUGAACCGCAUGGUUCAAGGAUGAAAGACGGUUUCGGCUGUCACUUACAGAUGGACCCGCGGCGCAUUAGCUAGUUGGUGGGGUAAUGGCUCACCAAGGCGACGAUGCGUAGCCGACCUGAGAGGGUGAUCGGCCACACUGGGACUGAGACACGGCCCAGACUCCUACGGGAGGCAGCAGUAGGGAAUCUUCCGCAAUGGACGAAAGUCUGACGGAGCAACGCCGCGUGAGUGAUGAAGGUUUUCGGAUCGUAAAGCUCUGUUGUUAGGGAAGAACAAGUGCGAGAGUAACUGCUCGCACCUUGACGGUACCUAACCAGAAAGCCACGGCUAACUACGUGCCAGCAGCCGCGGUAAUACGUAGGUGGCAAGCGUUGUCCGGAAUUAUUGGGCGUAAAGGGCUCGCAGGCGGUUUCUUAAGUCUGAUGUGAAAGCCCCCGGCUCAACCGGGGAGGGUCAUUGGAAACUGGGAAACUUGAGUGCAGAAGAGGAGAGUGGAAUUCCACGUGUAGCGGUGAAAUGCGUAGAGAUGUGGAGGAACACCAGUGGCGAAGGCGACUCUCUGGUCUGUAACUGACGCUGAGGAGCGAAAGCGUGGGGAGCGAACAGGAUUAUAUACCCUGGUAGUCCACGCCGUAAACGAUGAGUGCUACGUGUUAGGGGGUUUCCGCCCCUUAGUGCUGCAGCUAACGCAUUAAGCACUCCGCCUGGCGAGUACGGUCGCACGACUGAAGCUCCCCGGAAUUAAUUGGGAGCCCG
RNAcentral lists this ribosomal RNA (906 nucleotides) under Bacillus zhangzhouensis. RNAcentral describes it as "bacterial SSU rRNA". It matches the Rfam family "Bacterial small subunit ribosomal RNA", at positions 35 to 923 of the family's 1533-position model. The record is from RNAcentral. Lineage: Bacteria; Bacillati; Bacillota; Bacilli; Caryophanales; Bacillaceae.